GUACGCUUUUCAGGAAUUCACUUAAGUGCAAUCAGUUUAGAAUAAUGUAGCCUGGAAGUAAUAUUGCUGCCAUCCAGCUAGUGUCUGUGGAACAGCAUUCUCCUGCCUUCUGAAGCAUUGGCAUUGAAGAUGGAUAGAUAUGGAGAUAUUUCUAUUUUGAGCUGCUGCCUUUUAAAAUUUUUUAAUUUUUUUUUAAAGGGAAAUUCAUGCUCACCACUAGAGAGGGGCAUGUUUUGGUUGAGAUAUUCCCCCCCCUCCGAGUGAAAUACUGGACCACAUCAGCAUCCGAUUUGGGUGCGUCAUGUGGUUUCUCAUGUGAUGCUGGUCUCACUGCGCUUUGGAGAGUGAGCCUUUGUGACUCCGCACUCUUGGACAGUAGCAUCCAGCAACAUAGGAUACUUUGGGGAGGGAAAGGAAAAGAGGCAGCCUCCCAGAAAUGCCCGAAAGCCCAGAAAAAUAAAGCAGAAAGCUGCACCGUUCGGAAGAAGCAAGGCAGUCUUUCCUCACAGCUACGAUGCUGCACCGCUUUCGACAGAACCUGCUUUUCCCUCCAUUUACCUGGGCGGCUGCUGCUCCUUCUGCUGCUGCUGGGGCUGCUGCAGUCCUGCUGCCUGCACUUCACCCUGGCUUGGCUGGCUCGAAACUCUCUCGUCUGCACAUUGCUAAGGAAGAAGAGCGAUGGAGCUGCGGAUUUUUUUUAUUGGUUCUGGAAGCCAAAGGUUGCAAUAUGUGAUGAUUUUGGGGUUUUCUGUGGCAGGGCGGAGGGAGGAGAAAGGAAGGGUGUUAAUCUAGGAUAGGGUGGGUGAAAGCUUAAAGAAAUAUUAUGUAAAGUAAUCCAGUGCUCGACAAGGGCAUCAGCAACGAGAAUCCAGCCUCUGCUGCUCCAGAGGAUUAACAUGGGGAAGUCACAGCGCUGCAGUCGGGUUUCACUUCAGUGUUCUGCUGGAGAUGGAUAAAUAAG
This 961-nucleotide long non-coding RNA is filed under the name Zonotrichia albicollis (white-throated sparrow). RNAcentral's name for it is "lncRNA (ENSZALG00000003428.1)". Lineage: Eukaryota; Metazoa; Chordata; Aves; Passeriformes; Passerellidae. The record is from RNAcentral.